GAUGAACGCUGGCGGCGUGCUUAACACAUGCAAGUCGAACGAAGAUGCCGGAGUGCUUGCACUUUGGCAGACUGAGUGGCGGACGGGUGAGUAACGCGUGGGUAACCUGCCUUAUACAGGGGGGAUAACCAGUUGGAAACGACUGCUAAUACCGCAUAAGCGCACGGUAUCGCAUGAUACAGUGUGAAAAACUCCGGUGGUAUAAGAUGGACCCGCGUCUGAUUAGCUUGUUGGUGAGGUAACGGCCCACCAAGGCGACGAUCAGUAGCCGGCCUGAGAGGGUGAACGGCCACAUUGGGACUGAGACACGGCCCAAACUCCUACGGGAGCAGCAGUGGGAAUAUUGCACAAUGGGGGAAACCCUGAUGCAGCGACG
RNAcentral lists this ribosomal RNA (376 nucleotides) under uncultured bacterium. RNAcentral describes it as "bacterial SSU rRNA". It matches the Rfam family "Bacterial small subunit ribosomal RNA", at positions 28 to 396 of the family's 1533-position model. The record is from RNAcentral.